This 500-nucleotide ribosomal RNA is filed under the name uncultured bacterium. RNAcentral's name for it is "partial 16S ribosomal RNA". It matches the Rfam family "Bacterial small subunit ribosomal RNA", at positions 30 to 523 of the family's 1533-position model. The record is from RNAcentral.
AUUGAACGCUGGCGGAAUGCUUUACACAUGCAAGUCGAACGGCAGCACGGACUUCGGUCUGGUGGCGAGUGGCGAACGGGUGAGUAAUGUAUCGGAACGUGCCCAGUCGUGGGGGAUAACGUAGUGAAAAUUACGCUAAUACCGCAUACGAUCUAUGGAUGAAAGCGGGGGAUCGCAAGACCUCGCGCGAUUGGAGCGGCCGAUAUCAGAUUAGGUAGUUGGUGGGGUAAAGGCCCACCAAGCCAACGAUCUGUAGCUGGUCUGAGAGGACGGCCAGACACACUGGAACUGAGACACGGACCAGACCCCUACGGGAGGCAGCAGUGGGGAAUUUUGGACAAUGGGCGAAAGCCUGAUCCAGCCAUUCCGCGUGCAGGAUGAAGGCCCUCGGGUUGUAAACUGCUUUUGUACAGAACGAAAAGGUUUCUACUAAUACUAGGAGCUCAUGACGGUACUGUAAGAAUAAGCACCGGCUAACUACGUGCCAGCCGCCGCAGUAA